RNAcentral lists this long non-coding RNA (253 nucleotides) under Lathyrus oleraceus (garden pea). RNAcentral describes it as "Pisum sativum (pea) long non-coding RNA (PSAT_LNC019125)". Lineage: Eukaryota; Viridiplantae; Streptophyta; Magnoliopsida; Fabales; Fabaceae. The record is from RNAcentral.
ACCAACCAUGUUUAAUUUAAUGCAUUAUUUUUAGUAUUUUUAAUUGAAUAAAUGUCAAAUAAUUAUGUUGUGCCAUUUUGAUUGAUUUGUGUAUGUUUGACUUGUGUUGUUGGACCUUGGUCAAAGUUGAUUUGACUUUGUUAUAUUAAGAUCACUGGAUUUAGGGGAUUGAUGGAAUGUGCAUUCCAUCUCCCAAAAUGAAUGAAUGAUCUUAGUUUGGUAAAAGUCCUCCUUUGUCCAAUUUGAGUUUGAU